CAAGUCGAGCGGACAGAUGGGAGCUUGCUCCCUGAUGUUAGCGGCGGACGGGUGAGUAACACGUGGGUAACCUGCCUGUAAGACUGGGAUAACUCCGGGAAACCGGGGCUAAUACCGGAUGCUUGUUUGAACCGCAUGGUUCAAACAUAAAAGGUGGCUUCGGCUACCACUUACAGAUGGACCCGCGGCGCAUUAGCUAGUUGGUGAGGUAAUGGCUCACCAAGGCAACGAUGCGUAGCCGACCUGAGAGGGUGAUCGGCCACACUGGGACUGAGACACGGCCCAGACUCCUACGGGAGGCAGCAGUAGGGAAUCUUCCGCAAUGGACGAAAGUCUGACGGAGCAACGCCGCGUGAGUGAUGAAGGUUUUCGGAUCGUAAAGCUCUGUUGUUAGGGAAGAACAAGUACCGUUCGAAUAGGGCGGUACCUUGACGGUACCUAACCAGAAAGCCACGGCUAACUACGUGCCAGCAGCCGCGGUAAUACGUAGGUGGCAAGCGUUGUCCGGAAUUAUUGGGCGUAAAGGGCUCGCAGGCGGUUUCUUAAGUCUGAUGUGAAAGCCCCCGGCUCAACCGGGGAGGGUCAUUGGAAACUGGGGAACUUGAGUGCAGAAGAGGAGAGUGGAAUUCCACGUGUAGCGGUGAAAUGCGUAGAGAUGUGGAGGAACACCAGUGGCGAAGGCGACUCUCUGGUCUGUAACUGACGCUGAGGAGCGAAAGCGUGGGGAGCGAACAGGAUUAGAUACCCUGGUAGUCCACGCCGUAAACGAUGAGUGCUAAG
RNAcentral lists this ribosomal RNA (780 nucleotides) under Bacillus spizizenii. RNAcentral's name for it is "bacterial SSU rRNA". It matches the Rfam family "Bacterial small subunit ribosomal RNA", at positions 58 to 820 of the family's 1533-position model. Lineage: Bacteria; Bacillati; Bacillota; Bacilli; Caryophanales; Bacillaceae. The record is from RNAcentral.